GACGAACGCGGCGGCGUGCCUAAUACAUGCAAGUAGAACGCUGAAGAGAGGAGCUUGCUCUUCUUGGAUGAGUUGCGAACGGGUGAGUAACGCGUAGGUAACCUGCCUGGUAGCGGGGGAUAACUAUUGGAAACGAUAGCUAAUACCGCAUAAUAUUGACUAUUGCAUGAUAGUUGAUUAAAAGGUGCAAUUGCACCACUACCAGAUGGACCUGCGUUGUAUUAGCUAGUUGGUGGGGUAACGGCUCACCAAGGCGACGAUACAUAGCCGACCUGAGAGGGUGAUCGGCCACACUGGGACUGAGACACGGCCCAGACUCCUACGGGAGGCAGCAGUAGGGAAUCUUCGGCAAUGGACGGAAGUCUGACCGAGCAACGCCGCGUGAGUGAAGAAGGUUUUCGGAUCGUAAAGCUCUGUUGUAAGAGAAGAACGAGUGUGAGAGUGGAAAAGUUCACACUG
Molecule: ribosomal RNA, 459 nt
Filed under: Streptococcus sp. oral taxon 058
Lineage: Bacteria; Bacillati; Bacillota; Bacilli; Lactobacillales; Streptococcaceae
Description: bacterial SSU rRNA
Rfam family: Bacterial small subunit ribosomal RNA
Source: RNAcentral